UACGAAGGGGGCUAGCGUUGUUCGGAAUUACUGGGCGUAAAGCGCACGUAGGCGGACUAUUAAGUCAGGGGUGAAAUCCCGGGGCUCAACCCCGGAACUGCCUUUGAUACUGGUAGUCUCGAGUCCGGAAGAGGUGAGUGGAAUUCCGAGUGUAGAGGUGAAAUUCGUAGAUAUUCGGAGGAGCACCAGUGGCGAAGGCGGCUCACUGGUCCGGUACUGACGCUGAGGUGCGAAAGCGUGGGGAGCAAACAGG
Molecule: ribosomal RNA, 253 nt
Filed under: uncultured bacterium
Lineage: Bacteria
Description: partial 16S ribosomal RNA
Rfam family: Bacterial small subunit ribosomal RNA
Source: RNAcentral